AUACGUAGGUGGCAAGCGUUAUCCGGAAUUAUUGGGCGUAAAGCGUGAGCAGGCGGUUGAUUAAGUCUGAGGUUAAAGCGUGGGGCUCAACCCCAUAAAGCCUUGGAAACUGAUUGACUAGAGUACGGGAGAAGUGAAGGGAACUCCCUGUGUAGCGGUGAAAUGCGUAGAUAUAUGGAAGAACACCAGUGGCGAAGGCGCUUCACUAGCCCGAAACUGACGCUCAGUCACGAAAGCGUGGGUAGCAAAUAGGAUUAGAUACCCUAGUAGUCCACGCUGUAAACGAUGACAACUAAAUAUUGCCGCGAGGCAGUGUUGAAGCUAACGCAUUAAGUUGUCCGCCUGGGGAGUACGGUCGCAAGACUGAAACUUAAAGGAAUUGACGGG
This 387-nucleotide ribosomal RNA is filed under the name uncultured bacterium. RNAcentral's name for it is "partial 16S ribosomal RNA". It matches the Rfam family "Bacterial small subunit ribosomal RNA", at positions 523 to 917 of the family's 1533-position model. The record is from RNAcentral.